CAGCGCCACAAGUGGGAGUCGCUUUUAUUGGGCCUAAAGCGUUCGUAGCCGGUUUAGUAAAUCUUUUGUGAAAUUGUCAAGCUUAACUUGACAGCGAGCAGGGGACACUGCUAAACUAGAGACCGGGAGGAGUUGGAGGUAUGUUUGGGGGAGCGGUAAAAUGCUAUAAUCCCUUAUAGACCACCUGUGGCGAAGGCGUCCAACUAGAACGGAUCUGACGGUGAGGAACGAAAGCCAGGGGAGCGAACCGGAUUAGAUACCCGAGUAGUCC
Molecule: ribosomal RNA, 271 nt
Filed under: uncultured archaeon
Lineage: Archaea
Description: partial 16S ribosomal RNA
Rfam family: Archaeal small subunit ribosomal RNA
Source: RNAcentral